GCAACAGCUCAGAUUUGGAAUCUGGCCCCUAGGCGGAGUUGUAAUCUGGAGAGGAUGUUUCUGGCGCGGCGCCUUCCGAGUUCCCUGGAACGGGACGCCGGAGAGGGUGAGAGCCCCGUACGGUUGGACGCCUAGCCUUUGUGAAACUCCUUCGACGAGUCGAGUAGUUUGGGAAUGCUGCUCAAAAUGGGAGGUAAAUUUCUUCUAAAGCUAAAUACCGGCCAGAGACCGAUAGCGCACAA
Molecule: ribosomal RNA, 242 nt
Filed under: Leptographium europhioides
Lineage: Eukaryota; Fungi; Ascomycota; Sordariomycetes; Ophiostomatales; Ophiostomataceae
Description: Grosmannia europhioides partial large subunit ribosomal RNA
Rfam family: Eukaryotic large subunit ribosomal RNA
Source: RNAcentral